GUGCCAGCAGCCGCGGUAAUUCCAGCUCCAAUAGCGUAUAUUAAAGUUGUUGUGGUUAAAAAGCUCGUAGUUGGAUCUCAACAGCCUUGAAGCGGUUAACUUUGUAGUUUUACUUGCUUUAUAGGCUGUGCUUUUGCUGGAGGUUUAGGGGUGCUCUUGAUCGAGUGUCUCUGGAUGCCAGCAGGUUUACUUUGAAAAAAUUAGAGUGCUCAAAGCAGGCUAAAAUGCCUGAAUAUUCGUGCAUGGAAUAAUAGAAUAGGAUGUCGAUCCUAUUUUGUUGGUUUUCGGGACUCGACAUAAUGAUAAAUAGGGACAGUCGGGGGCAUUUGUAUUCAAACGACAGAGGUGAAAUUCUUGGACCGUUUGAAGACAAACUACUGCGAAAGCAUUUGCCAAGAAUGUUUUCAUUAAUCAAGAACGAAAGUUAGAGGUUCGAAGGCGAUUAGAUACCGCCCUAGUUCUAACCAUAAACGAUGCCAGCUAGCGAUCUGCCUGCGUUUUUACUGUAGACUGGGCAGGAAGCUUCCGGGAAACCAAAGCAUUUGGGUUCCAGGGGAAGUAUGGUUGCAAAGCUGAAACUUAAAGGAAUUGACGGAAGGGCACCACCAGGAGUGGAGCCUGUGGCUCAAUUUGACUCAACACGGGAAAUCUCACCAGGCCCGGACACUGGAAGGAUUGACAGAUUGAUAGCUCUUUCUUGAUUCGGUGGGUGGUGGUGCAUGGCCGUUCUUAGUUGGUGGAGUGAUUUGUCUGGUUAAUUCCGAUAACGAACGAGACUCUGUCCUGCUAAAUAGUUUCUACUUCUCUUUUGAGUAGAAAUUUCUUCUUAGAGGGACUGGUGACUCUUAGUCACACGAGAUUGAGCAAUAACAGGUCUGUGAUGCCC
RNAcentral lists this ribosomal RNA (886 nucleotides) under uncultured eukaryote. RNAcentral's name for it is "SSU rRNA". It matches the Rfam family "Eukaryotic small subunit ribosomal RNA", at positions 564 to 1472 of the family's 1831-position model. The record is from RNAcentral.